AAGAUUGUGUGUGUGCUACUAUAGUCCCGAGUGCAUUGAGCGUAAUAGAGUCCCGAAGCCACGACGUAGCGUUGUCAAGGCAGCGAUAUCACUGGAUCUAAACAAAUCAAUCUACCAUUAGAAAUCACCA
This is a long non-coding RNA of Alosa sapidissima (American shad), 130 nucleotides long. RefSeq lists it as uncharacterized. NCBI's taxonomy places the organism in Eukaryota, Metazoa, Chordata, Actinopteri, Clupeiformes, Clupeidae. The transcript is spliced from 3 exons. The record is from RefSeq and is a predicted model, not a curated record.